This 73-nucleotide transfer RNA is filed under the name Felis catus (domestic cat). It matches the Rfam family "tRNA". Rfam says of the family: Transfer RNA (tRNA) molecules are approximately 80 nucleotides in length. Their secondary structure includes four short double-helical elements and three loops (D, anti-codon, and T loops). The record is from Rfam by way of RNAcentral. Lineage: Eukaryota; Metazoa; Chordata; Mammalia; Carnivora; Felidae. RNAcentral also lists the same sequence under 4 other names.
GCCUGGCUGGCUCAGUUAGUAGGGCAUGUGACUCUUGAUCUCAGGGUUGUGGGUUUGAGUGCCGUGUUGGGUA